UAGCGGCGAGCGAAACGGCAGGAGGGCAAACCGAAGAGUUUACUCUUCGGGGUUGUAGGACUGCAAUGUGGACUCAAAGAUUAUAGAAGAAUGAUUUGGGAAGAUCAGCCAAAGAGAGUAAUAGCCUCGUAUUUAAAAUAGUCUUUGUACCUAGCAGUAUCCUGAGUACGGCGGGACACGUGAAAUCCCGUCGGAAUCUGGGAGGACCAUCUCCCAACCCUAAAUACUCCCUAGUGACCGAUAGUGAACCAGUACCGUGAGGGAAAGGUGAAAAGCACCCCGGGAGGGGAGUGAAAUAGAACCUGAAACCGUGUGCCUACAACAAGUUCGAGCCCGUUAAUGGGUGAGAGCGUGCCUUUUGUAGAAUGAACCGGCGAGUUACGUUAUGAUGCGAGGUUAAGUUGAAGAGACGGAGCCGUAGGGAAACCGAGUCUGAAUAGGGCGCCUUAGUAUCAUGACGUAGACCCGAAACCAUGUGACCUACCCAUGAGCAGGUUGAAGGUGCGGUAAGACGCACUGGAGGACCGAACCAGGGCACGUUGAAAAGUGCUUGGAUGACUUGUGGGUAGCGGAGAAAUUCCAAACGAACUUGGAGAUAGCUGGUUCUCUCCGAAAUAGCUUUAGGGCUAGCGUCGACAUUAGAGAUUCUUGGAGGUAGAGCACUGUUUGGGUGAGGGGUCCAUCCCGGAUUACCAAUCUCAGAUAAACUCCGAAUGCCAAUGAAUUAUGGUCGGCAGUCAGACUGCGAGUGCUAAGAUCCGUAGUCGAAAGGGAAACAGCCCAGACCACCAGCUAAGGUCCCAAAAUAAUUGUUAAGUGGAAAAGGAUGUGGGGUUGCACAGACAACUAGGAUGUUAGCUUAGAAGCAGCUAUUCAUUCAAAGAGUGCGUAAUAGCUCACUAGUCGAGUGACCCUGCGCCGAAAAUGUACCGGGGCUAAAACAAUUUACCGAAGCUGUGGAUACCUUUAUAGGUAUGGUAGGAGAGCGUUCUAUGUGUGAUGAAGGUAUACCGUGAGGAGUGCUGGAACGCAUAGAAGUGAGAAUGCCGGUAUGAGUAGCGAAAGACAGGUGAGAAUCCUGUCCACCGUAAGACUAAGGUUUCCAGGGGAAGGCUCGUCCGCCCUGGGUUAGUCGGGACCUAAGGAGAGACCGAAAGGUGUAUCCGAUGGACAACAGGUUGAUAUUCCUGUACUAGAGUAUGUAGUGAUGGAGGGACGCAGUAGGCUAACUAAAGCAGACGAUUGGAAGAGUCUGUCUAAGCAGUGAGGUGUGAAUUGAGUCAAAUGCUUAAUUCUAUAACAUUGAGCUGUGAUGGGGAGCGAAGUUUAGUAGCGAAGUUAGUGACGUCACACUGCCAAGAAAAGCUUCUAGCGUUUAAACAUACUCUACCCGUACCGCAAACCGACACAGGUAGUCGAGGCGAGUAGCCUCAGGUGAGCGAGAGAACUCUCGUUAAGGAACUCGGCAAAAUGACCCCGUAACUUCGGGAGAAGGGGUGCUGACUUAAAGUCAGCCGCAGUGAAUAGGCCCAAGCAACUGUUUAUCAAAAACACAGCUCUCUGCUAAAUCGUAAGAUGAUGUAUAGGGGGUGACGCCUGCCCGGUGCUGGAAGGUUAAGAGGAGUGCUUAGCGUAAGCGAAGGUAUGAAUUGAAGCCCCAGUAAACGGCGGCCGUAACUAUAACGGUCCUAAGGUAGCGAAAUUCCUUGUCGGGUAAGUUCCGACCCGCACGAAAGGCGUAAUGAUUUGGGCACUGUCUCAACGAGAGACUCGGUGAAAUUUUAGUACCUGUGAAGAUGCAGGUUACCCGCGACAGGACGGAAAGACCCCAUGGAGCUUUACUGCAGUUUGAUAUUGAGUGUCUGUACCACAUGUACAGGAUAGGUAGGAGUCUAAGAGAUCGGGACGCCAGUUUCGAAGGAGACGCUGUUGGGAUACUACCCUUGUGUUAUGGCCACUCUAACCCAGAUAGGUGAUCCCUAUCGGAGACAGUGUCUGACGGGCAGUUUGACUGGGGCGGUCGCCUCCUAAAAGGUAACGGAGGCGCCCAAAGGUUCCCUCAGAAUGGUUGGAAAUCAUUCGCAGAGUGUAAAGGUAUAAGGGAGCUUGACUGCGAGAGCUACAACUCGAGCAGGGACGAAAGUCGGGCUUAGUGAUCCGGUGGUUCCGUAUGGAAGGGCCAUCGCUCAACGGAUAAAAGCUACCCUGGGGAUAACAGGCUUAUCUCCCCCAAGAGUUCACAUCGACGGGGAGGUUUGGCACCUCGAUGUCGGCUCGUCGCAUCCUGGGGCUGUAGUCGGUCCCAAGGGUUGGGCUGUUCGCCCAUUAAAGCGGCACGCGAGCUGGGUUCAGAACGUCGUGAGACAGUUCGGUCCCUAUCCGUCGCGGGCGUAGGAAAUUUGAGAGGAUCUGCUCCUAGUACGAGAGGACCAGAGUGGACUUACCGCUGGUGUACCAGUUGUCUUGCCAAAGGCAUCGCUGGGUAGCUAUGUAGGGAAGGGAUAAACGCUGAAAGCAUCUAAGUGUGAAACCCACCUCAAGAUGAGAUUUCCCAUGAUUAUAUAUCAGUAAGAGCCCUGAGAGAUGAUCAGGUAGAUAGGUUAGAAGUGGAAGUGUGGCGACACAUGUAGCGGACUAAUACUAAUAGCUCGAGGACUUAUCCAA
This 2664-nucleotide ribosomal RNA is filed under the name Streptococcus pneumoniae. RNAcentral describes it as "bacterial LSU rRNA". It matches the Rfam family "Bacterial large subunit ribosomal RNA". The record is from RNAcentral. Lineage: Bacteria; Bacillati; Bacillota; Bacilli; Lactobacillales; Streptococcaceae.